Molecule: ribosomal RNA, 482 nt
Filed under: uncultured bacterium
Lineage: Bacteria
Description: partial 16S ribosomal RNA
Rfam family: Bacterial small subunit ribosomal RNA
Source: RNAcentral
GACGAACGCUGGCGGCGUGCCUAACACAUGCAAGUCGAACGGAACUGUUUUGAAAGAUUUCUUCGGAAUGAAUUUGAUUUAGUUUAGUGGCGGACGGGUGAGUAACGCGUGAGUAACCUGCCUUCAAGAGGGGAAUAACAUUCUGAAAAGAAUGCUAAUACCGCAUGACAUAUCGGAACCACAUGGUUUUGAUAUCAAAGAUUUUAUCGCUUGAAGAUGGACUCGCGUCCGAUUAGUUAGUUGGUGAGGUAACGGCUCACCAAGACCGCGAUCGGUAGCCGGACUGAGAGGUUGAACGGCCACAUUGGGACUGAGACACGGCCCAGACUCCUACGGGAGGCAGCAGUGGGGGAUAUUGCGCAAUGGGGGCAACCCUGACGCAGCAACGCCGCGUGAAGGAUGAAGGUUUUCGGAUUGUAAACUUCUUUUAUUAAGGACGAAAAAUGACGGUACUUAAUGAAUAAGCUCCGGCUAACUACAUG